Molecule: long non-coding RNA, 5298 nt
Filed under: Malus domestica (apple)
Lineage: Eukaryota; Viridiplantae; Streptophyta; Magnoliopsida; Rosales; Rosaceae
Description: long non-coding RNA (MDOM_LNC011923)
Source: RNAcentral
CUCUCUCUCUCUCACCAUUUUCAGCUUUUCCUUAUUUUGGAGCCUAGGUUUUUUCUCUCUCCCACGCCUUCGUUGUUUUCGCUAUCCGUCCUUCACGUCUUUGUCUCGUCGAUUAUUCACGGCCGUUUUCUUCUCGGAAAACUAACGAUCUCUGGUGAGUUUUUUUGCAGUUCUUGCCGUGUCUCAUUUCAAUUUUUUUUUUCGUUGUUUGAGUGUGGCUUUGCGAUGCGGUUUGAUUUUUGGUUUCAGGAAAAGUUAUCGAUGCGAUCUAAGGUGUUUUGGUGAGUUUUCUGCUUUUCUGAUUGUAUGUUGUUUGAUUCUUUUUUCGUGCUUUGGGUCUGCCUUUCUGAUCUGCUUUCAUAUUUGGUUUUAGCAAAAGAAGUUGUUUGAAUUUUGGCCUUUCUGUCUGCAACCUUGCAAGCUGUUUGCGAUCAAGGUAUUUAACUUUUUUUUUUUUUUUUUGGUGUUGGUUCUUUCUCCGAUGAUGGUUUGUUUGACUGGUCAGAAACUGAAAUAAAUAAAUUAUGAGAUUUAAACUGAAUUAUGCUUCAUUUAAUUAAAUCUUUGGUUUUGUUGGGUUGUCAUUGUUUGCCCUGUUCUAAACUUAUAUGUCUUGGGUUGUCAAUUUUUUUCGGUUGUCAUUUUUUCCUUUUAUUUUCUGCUGGAAGCACUAUUAUAUUCAUGCUAAUUUUGAUGAAAAGGAAAUGUGUGUUUAAUUGAAGGAUUAAAUAUGUAUGAAGCAGGACAUAGUAUGCUAUAAUACAUUUUUCCUUUUAUUCUCUGUUUCUUCGUUGUCAAUUUCAUAGGAUUUGGGUUUGGGCAGAUCAAUCCUGCAAACCGCUUCAAUAACAUGUCUUGGAACUCAAUUGGCCACUAUCAGCGCAACCUCCAUAUUCUUGGUAAAACACCAGAACCAAUCAUCUCAUGGCUUGAAAAGGAGGGAAAGACUAAUCCAGGGCCAUGACAUAGCAUUAACUCAUCAGACAUAAUCAACGUUUGGAAAUGCUUUGUCUAUUUUUUUAUUUGAUUAACAAUUCAAACUUAUCUUUAUAUUUAUUAGUAUCUUGAUUUCCUUGACAAUUCAACCAUAUCUUUUUUGUGUUUCUGUUUUUCUGGGUGUUUAAUUUUAUUUGAAUUUCUUAAUUUGUUCAAAGGAUGCUUUGGUUAGUGGCCAUCUUAUUUAAUUAUUUUUUUUUCUUUUGGUUUUUUAGCACCAAUGGUAUUGGUGAAUGGUGAAGAGGUUUGUAUGGGUUCAUAUAUCUUAAACAUGUAGUGAGAAGUGAGGGUUUUGUUUUAGUAUUUUAGAUAAUUUGAGGAACAUGUAGAUACUAUGAUUUGUGGUUGCUUUCUUAAACCAUGAUAAAGCAGUCCAUGUAAUUUUAACAUAGAUAUAAUUUUUUAUCUAAUGCAUGAGUAUAUGAAAUGUUAAUACGAUAAGAUUUAAAAUGCAAAGAGAGACAAUGAACCAUGUUUGAUAUUUUGUUUGUGUUGGUUGUUUUAAAUUUGAGCUUUUUUGAGUUGGAUUUAUGUGUUUUGUUUAAGAUAUCAUUUUUGGUUUAUGAAUGGUUUGCCAGUGCAAAAGUUUGCAUAUUUUUUUAUGGUUGGAUUCAUGGGUUGUCUUAAGCUUUGAAGUUCUUAGUUUUUAUCAAGAAAUUUAAUUUGGGUUUCAUUUAUUUGUGAAACUAGCACUUUUUUUGUGAAGAUUUUCAGUAAAUGAUUGCUUAUUUGGCUUUAAAUUUGAUCUCUUUAAAUUUCCAGGUUGUCCUAGACUUUUUCAACAGUGCAGAGUUGUCUUCGGCAGAACUCGAUAGCAACUCUAGGUCAGUCUGAAUUGCCAGUAGAUAUGAUUUUUCUUUAAUUUAUUCAUCUUCUUUCGAAUUUAUGUGCAAAUAUUUUUGAAGCCCAAGUGUAAAGUAUAAGUGUGGGUGUGGACACCCAAUAUGACUUUUACAUGGUGUUGCUAUCUUCUAUUUGACAGAAUUAUAUUGGGGACUGUCUAAAUUUUGGUUUUAGCUGCAGAUGAAGCGAAAUCAAAAGGUUAUAAAUUAGAGGUAUAAUUUAAUUAUUAUAUUUGAUGCAUCAUUUGAUUAAAUGAAUAUAGUAGGAACAUUGAUUUGACGUAUGUGCUUUCGUAAGGAAAACUAAAUUUUGUGUGUUUAUAAGUGUGUAUAUACUCAAUAUUUAUUUUAAUUACAAUGGAAUUGACUGAAAAUUAUGGAGAAUUAGUGUCAGUUUACACACAUAAAGAAAUAGAAGGAAAAUGUAAGUAAAGAAAAAUUAGAAUGUAAUACAUAAUAUCUUUAUCUGUGUGUGUGUGUGUGUGUAAGGGAUUGAUGACUAAAUGUGCUACGUGAAGAGAUUGCUUAUUUCGUUAGUUAAGGGCAGCACUUGAUAGAAGCAUAACCAAACCCAGGUAAGAGUCACAUUUUGGUUGCCUUCCUAUCCUUAUUUUUUGUAUUUUUCACUCAGCUCUAUGUUGUUAACUGCAAAUUUUGGUAUUUUGUUCCCUUUAGUUUUAUCUGCUAAUUAUUGUUCUACGAAUUGUAUUCUUCAGUUAAUUAAUGAUUAACUAAAAUGUCCCAAAAAAAAAAAAAAUCAAGCAUUACAAUGUUCGGGAUGAUAAUUUACAUCCAAUAUGAUCAUUAGCCAGUCGAGAACCUAAUUUGGGAAUUGGGUUUUAAAGUUUUAAUAGUUUUGUUGUGUGUAAAUUUCUUGCUUUGCCUACCAAGAAUCUAAAAACUAAAGGCUUAGUUAUUUUCCCCAAAUGGUUUUCAAUUUGUUGUUGGUAAACAAGAGCUACUGGACUAUUAUGCACAGGGGAAUGGAAGGAAAGAAAAAAUUCAAGCUUUUAAUACAAAUUGGAAAUUGAGAGACACUAAACAAACGAUAGGUAAAAUUGACCACUACUUUCUUUCCGUUUAAAUAUAAAUCAAUUGAUUAAGUCUGUGUUUUAAAAUGAAGUUUCAAUUGUUUUCAAAUUCUAAUAACGAUCUCCUACGCUUUAAGAUAAUCUAUUUAGAGUUUUGAUCCACUUUUAAUUACACAGAAUUUCAAUUUUUUUUCAUAUAAAGUUUCCAUUUUGCUUGAGUAAGAGAAGAAGCUUUAAUUUGGGUUUACAAUUUUUCCCUUUGUAGAUUUUCAAAGUAGGACCAAGCUUUAAAAAGGCACUUCAGGUUCUGGAAUUAUUAUUAUUAUUAUUAUUAUUUAUUUUUUGUUAAGCUUUGUUAUAUCAGGUUCUAAAUUGCGCAUACCAUUUCUUUAAAUUAGAGAAAAUUAAGCACGAUCUUGCUUAUAUACAUAUUGUUAUUUUAAGAAACAAUUUUGUUUGUCUUUUCUAUAAUAAGAACAGCAAUUUACUUUUGGGUUUCGUUCUUAACUGAUUUAUGAAUUUAUGCCCAAGUCUAAUCUACUCCAAAGACAGGCUGAGCAAAAGGAGGAACGUUUAAGCAGGUAUGUGUACUAUGUGUUUUAUUCGUUCUUAACUUCAUUGUUGGUUUCUGUACUAUUUUUCUGUGUCUAAAAAUUUGAAAUAAAUAUGAUCUAUUCACUAUUGAUUCUCAUUCCAAGUUUUUUCCACAGAAAAUAAAAUAACAAAUAAAUAUUUUGUUUCCCUUCUUCUACUUUGUUCUUUUGCAGCAAAACAAGCAUGAUUUUGUUGGUACUGCUUAUUUAGGGAAGCAACGGUUUCAUAUUGUGAACUGUUUUGCGUGUUUAUCACUUUAUUCUUUAUGGUUUCAAUUUCCUAAAUGAAGUUUGACAUGUAUGGAAUUUCACAAUUUACAACCAUAAACUUCAUUUCUCCCACGGACCUUUUUUGUUCCUUAUUGUUGAUAGAGUUGUAAAUAAAUUUGCACAUGUAUGUAAAUAGUAUUGUCUACUGUAUAUACAUAUAUAAUUUUUUUAGAAUAUCUAUGUGUUAUACAAUUUUCAUUCCCGCAGCAACGCGCGGGCAUCCUUGCUAGUCUUGUCUAUAGCCGAAACUUUGUUUUGCUUGUGUAAUCUUAACUUCCUGGACAAUGCUAAACCGUAAACAUUGUUCAGUUUAAUAAGAAAUAAAAUUGCAGAAUAUGUGUUUUGAAGCACCUAAAACCAGGUGAUGGAUACCUUUUCAAUGAAAAAAAGGCAACCUUUUGAAGCAAAGCAUGAUGGUUCUAUCCUUUUUUUUUUCUUGACAAACAAUAGUGUUGCUAGGUUCAAUUGUUAGUGUUCGGGAGGAGGUGAUGCGUAGAGAUCGAACCCGCACCAAGGUGCAUAGGCAUGAUUGUUUUCCGCCACUGCGGUCAAGUGUCAUCUGAAACAUUUAUAUCCUUUAAAGCUUUCUAGUUAGGAAUAACACCUAUAUUUUUCCUUACAAGCAGGUGAUGGAUACCUUUCAAAUGAAACAAUGGCAACCCUUUUGAAGCAAAGCAUAACAUUUCUAUAAUAGCUGACACUUGUCAAGCUUAGAUAUAAUGAGUUAGUUAGUAUUGUUGUGAUAAGAAGUGGUAGUUGAAGGGUAUUUUGUAAUAGUAUAGAAGAUGAAAAUACUAUAGAACCUAAAAUGUAGUGCUCUAAGAGGAAGUAUAUUGUUGAUAAAGAAAUACAAUAAGCCUUUCUCUUUCUCUCUCUCUCUCUCUUUCUUCCUUAAUUCGAUAUCAUCUCUUAGUUCCAUAGUUCUUCCAUUGUUGCUAGUAUUUUGUUUCCUCAGAGAUUAAUAUGGUAUCAUCGCCGGUGUUUGGCUUGCUGCUGUAGUCGGUCUUGAAGGUUCUUCCGCUGCAAUCAUUGAAAGAUCUGGGUUAUCGUUGCCUAAGAGGGUUUCUCGAAGAUUUGUUUUUGAUCUGGGUUUUGCGAUGCGUUCUUGGUGAAUCUGCUAUUCUUAGGUGAUAUCUAAUUGGUUCUUGAGAUAAAGUUCUAUUGCGAUUUCUAUGAUUGAUCUAUGAGUAAUUGAUUUGUUGAAGUAAUAUGAUGUGUUUGAUGAUGAUUGUAUUUGUGGUGAAGUUUGGGAAUUUUUCUUCUGAUGGAUGAGUUCUGUGUUCUAGAUUGUAAUUGUGUUCAAUAAUUUUGUUGAAUCUUGUGUGUUCCAGAAAGUAUCAGUCUUUCUUGGUAGAGUUUGUGUGAUUUCAAGAAAGUAUCAAUCUUUCUUAGGUGUUGGGCUAAUUCAAGAAAGUACCAGUCUUUCUUGUUCAAACAGAAAGUAUAUGUCUUUCUUUCUUGUUGAUAAAAUUUGAAGAGUGUCAAUCUCUUGGUAAACAGAAGAAAUCAAAGAGUGUCAAUCUCUUGGUGAAUGAUAGAAAUCGAAGAGUGUCAAUCUCUUGGUGA